GUAGGGAAUCUUGCGCAAUGGGCGAAAGCCUGACGCAGCCAUGCCGCGUGAAUGAUGAAGGUCUUAGGAUUGUAAAAUUCUUUCACCGGGGACGAUAAUGACGGUACCCGGAGAAGAAGCCCCGGCUAACUUCGUGCCAGCAGCCGCGGUAAUACGAAGGGGGCUAGCGUUGCUCGGAAUUACUGGGCGUAAAGGGAGCGUAGGCGGAUAGUUUAGUCAGAGGUGAAAGCCCAGGGCUCAAACUUGGAAUUGCCUUUGAUACUGGCUAUCUUGAGUAUGGAAGAGGUAUGUGGAACUCCGAGUGUAGAGGUGAAAUUCGUAGAUAUUCGGAAGAACACCAGUGGCGAAGGCGACUCACUGGCCCAAUACUGACGCUGAGGCGCGAAAGCGUGGGGAGCAAACAGGAUUAGAAACCCCAGUAGUCC
Molecule: ribosomal RNA, 425 nt
Filed under: uncultured bacterium
Lineage: Bacteria
Description: partial 16S ribosomal RNA
Rfam family: Bacterial small subunit ribosomal RNA
Source: RNAcentral